ACGGAGGAUCCAAGCGUUAUCCGGAUUUAUUGGGUUUAAAGGGUGCGUAGGCGGUCCUAUAAGUCAGUGGUGAAAGACAGCAGCUUAACUGUCGCAGUGCCUUUGAUACUGUAGGACUUGAAUCUAUUUGAAGUGGGCGGAAUAAGACAAGUAGCGGUGAAAUGCAUAGAUAUGUCUUAGAACUCCGAUUGCGAAGGCAGCUCACUAAGUUAGUAUUGACGCUGAUGCACGAAAGCGUGGGGAUCAAACAGGAUUAGAUACCCUGGUAGUCCACGCCCUAAACGAUGAUAACUCGAUGUUUGCGAUACACAGUAAGCGUCCAAGCGAAAGCGUUAAGUUAUCCACCUGGGGAGUACGGUCGCAAGAUUG
RNAcentral lists this ribosomal RNA (369 nucleotides) under uncultured bacterium. RNAcentral describes it as "bacterial SSU rRNA". It matches the Rfam family "Bacterial small subunit ribosomal RNA", at positions 525 to 896 of the family's 1533-position model. The record is from RNAcentral.